Non-coding RNA from Myotis lucifugus (little brown bat), 89 nucleotides. The record is from Rfam. Lineage: Eukaryota; Metazoa; Chordata; Mammalia; Chiroptera; Vespertilionidae.
AGAGGCCCAUCCGUGGCCGGGCGCGGAAUGCUUGCCUCAUUGCCGCGGCAAUGAAGCAAGCAUUCCAUCAGGCCGCUCACACUGCCUGC